CCUACGGGAGGCUGCAGUGAGGAAUAUUGGUCAAUGGACGUAAGACUGAACCAGCCAAGCCGCGUGCAGGAAGACGGCUCUAUGGGUUGUAAACUGCUUUUAUGCGGGGAUAAACUCAGAUACGCGUGUCUUUCUGUAGGUAUCGUACGAAUAAGGAUCGGCUAACUCCGUGCCAGCAGCCGCGGUAAUACGGAGGGUUCAAGCGUUAUCCGGAUUUAUUGGGUUUAAAGGGUGCGUAGGCGGUAUGAUAAGUUAGAGGUGAAAUCCCGAGGCUCAACUUCGGAAUUGCGGCUGAAACUGGUCGGCUAGAGAGUAGUGGCGGUAGGCGGAAUGUAUGGUGUAGCGGUGAAAUGCUUAGAGAUCAUACAGAACACCGAUUGCGAAGGCAGCAUACGAAGCUACUUCUGACGUUGAGGCACGAAAGCGUGGGGAGCGAACAGGAUUAGAUACCCGUGUAGUC
RNAcentral lists this ribosomal RNA (460 nucleotides) under uncultured bacterium. RNAcentral describes it as "partial 16S ribosomal RNA". It matches the Rfam family "Bacterial small subunit ribosomal RNA", at positions 338 to 795 of the family's 1533-position model. The record is from RNAcentral.